GUGCUUGCUUUGACAGCAUGUAUACUAAAAUUGGAACAGUGCAGAGAAGCAUAGCAUGCCCCCUGUGCAAGGAUGACACACAGAUUCGUGAAAUGUUCCAUAUUUUU
RNAcentral lists this small nuclear RNA (107 nucleotides) under Salvator merianae (Argentine black and white tegu). Lineage: Eukaryota; Metazoa; Chordata; Lepidosauria; Squamata; Teiidae. The record is from RNAcentral.